CUACCAAGGCGACGAUCCGUAGCUGGUCUGAGAGGAUGAUCAGCCACACUGGGACUGAGACACGGCCCAGACUCUACGGGAGGCAGCAGUGGGGAAUAUUGGACAAUGGGGGCAACCCUGAUCCAGCCAUACCGCGUGUGUGAAGAAGGCCUUAGGGUUGUAAAGCACUUUCAGUGGGGAGGAAAAGUUGCCGGCGAAUACCCGGCG
This 207-nucleotide ribosomal RNA is filed under the name uncultured Desulfotomaculum sp. Its description in RNAcentral is "partial 16S ribosomal RNA". It matches the Rfam family "Bacterial small subunit ribosomal RNA", at positions 265 to 469 of the family's 1533-position model. The record is from RNAcentral. Lineage: Bacteria; Bacillati; Bacillota; Clostridia; Eubacteriales; Desulfotomaculaceae.